Molecule: non-coding RNA, 5449 nt
Organism: Oryctolagus cuniculus (rabbit)
Lineage: Eukaryota; Metazoa; Chordata; Mammalia; Lagomorpha; Leporidae
Source: RefSeq, a predicted model, not a curated record
CUGUUGGAAGGCUGGUGGCUGCUACCAAAGUCUCCCAUUUAAUUGGAAACUGUUACCAGGCACAUGGAAAAGAAUUCUCGGAUCUCACGUCGGCAUAAUGUGGUCUUUUGCACGGGGAGGUGCUAUGUCCUCUACCAGGGAGCACAGAUCCAGAGAGAAGCCCACCCAGGCAGGCGCUUUCCCAGGCUGGCUCCAAGAGGCCUUGCUGGGCGUGGUCAGCUGUGUCGAUUGCUGCUGUUCUGUUCAACUCAAGCCACGAGGACCAUCCAAUUAAAAGUAAUCACCGCUGUGUCUCGCACCUGCCUUUUGACGGCUGCUCGCCCAGAACGCCGCUGUUGGUUGAGCCCGGCCUCGUUUUCACAGCUGCUGGGAUGCGUUUUGGAGCUGGGAGGUCUGGAGGAGACGACCGGGAUGGAGACGGGGCACACCUGCCCACGGGAACGCUUGCACGCCUAUCGGCAGAGACAGUGGAAUGAGAAGAGCAAGCACUACCAUCAGACAACAGGUCCUGAGCAUCGUUUCCCGUGAUUAUUUGGUAUCCGUGUGUCUUCUUGGGCACUGACACUGUGGCAAAAGGUCUGCUCAAAUCUUAUUUUUUUUUUAAGAAUUGUGUUGUUUUCUUUUUUAAUGAAUUUUAAGAAUUUGUGAAGUUACAUUCUAUGUGCAAGUCCUUUACCAGAUGAGUAUUUUGCAAACAUUUUCUCCUGAUUUAUGGCAUGCCCCUUGAUUCUCUUGGCCUCGACUUUAGAAGAGGAAUGUUUUUAAUCUUGACGAAGUCCAGUUUAUCACACUUUUCCUCUGAUGGGUGGGUCAUGCACUUGGUGUCAGAGUUAAGAAACCUUUCCCUAAACCAGGGUCACAACAUUUUCUUCUAGAAGCUGUGUAGUUUUAGAUUCCACAUAGAUGCCCAUGAUCUGUUUUGGGCUGACUUUUGCACAUGGUUCCAGAUUUGGACGGAGGCCCUGGGAUUCCGGGAGCAGUGACUGGCAAGUGUCCGUCCCUGGGGAGUCGCCUUGGAGUCUCCUCGGCACUCUCCUGGAGGGCCACAGUCACCGUCCACGUGCUGCGGGGUCUGUUCUGCCUGGAGAUCCCAUGCUUCAGGCCUCAGCCCCUGAAGCUCCCCCCCGUGACCCCCAGCCGGGGCCCCUGUCCCCACGGGCGGGCGCUGCUCGCCAUGUUAGGCCACCCACCGCAGGCGCUGACCGGCCCGCCUGCACCCGGAGUUGUCUGAGCCUCACCCUGGUGCGCGGAGCUAGGCUCAGCUGGAUCUCUGAGGGGUGGGGGAGGGGCCCCCUUGCCAUGUUUCCAGAAGGUUCUCCCGCCCAAGAGCACCCCCUUCCCUGGAUCACAGCCGCCACACCCCAGGUGCUGGGAGCUCCCCCAAGCCUCGGACCCCUCCCAUUUCCUCCUACCCACGACUUCCCCGACCCCAACUCCAGGCAAACGGGAGAACCUUUCGAAGACAGAUGGCUGAGAAGACCCUGUUUGCAUUUUGGAAACAGAUAGUCAACACUGGGCAGCCCCUCGUGGCCGCUGUGGGAGGGCUGCAAGUGGGAAGCCGGGGGGCUCCGUGGGCUCCCCCGCCACUGCCCAGCGGUGAGGAAGUGGGUGAGGCUAUAGCUGGCCUUGCACUUGGCGAGGCACCUGGACGCCACAGUGUGGUUAGUGAAGUAGCGUCUCUGUGCCACUCUUACUGCCCUCUGACGACUGUCUCACGUGCUAGCACAGCGUGCAGGGGUCAGCAGGGUUUGGCUGACCUGGGGGUCCCCUCCCUCUUCCCCAGCCCACCAUUUCUGUUCUUUAAGCCACGUCCCCUGUAGAUCACUGAAUGAGAAAUAAUUAGAUGCUUGCUUCCUUUUCCGAAGAGAAUGGCCUUGGCCAGUCCACUCCCAUCAUACCUACCUUUCUUUACGUGGGAGGCACUGGCUUAGGACAUUUGAUUGCCUAAAAACUAUGUACUCUGUAUGGAGGACAAAGUCUCUUUCCAGAGACUUGUAUUUUUGUUCUACUAAAAAUAUUUUUAGGGAGCCAGCAUCAUGGCAUGGUGGAUUACCUUGCUGCUUGGGAUGACAGCACACCCUGUGGGUGCUGCUGGCAGUCCUGGCUGCUCCACUUCUGACCCAGCUCCCUACUGAUGGCCUGGGAAAGCAGCAGCAAACCUUCCAAUGCUUGGGCCCCUGCACCCACAUGGGAGGCCCAGAAGAAGCUCCUGGCUCCUGGCUUCAGCUUGGCCCAGCCUGGCUAUGGAGGCCAUCUGGUGAGUGAACCAGUGGAUGGAAGAUCUUUCUCUCUGUCUCCCCCCGCCUUUAGAAAGUAUUUUAAAAGGGGGACUUUCAAGGGACAAGUUUUUGGAGACUUACUGCCUACUUUUUGCAAGAAGCUGGAAGAUGAUGAAGCCGACCCAACUGCUGAGAUAAAUUCAACUGUUUACCCGAUUUUUUUUUUUUUUUUUUUUUUUACCUAACUUCAUUGGAAAGCGUUUUGGGCCAGUGUUUUGGCUUGGUGGAUAAAGUCGUCACCUGCAGUGCCAGCAUCCCAUAUGGGAGCUAGUUCUUGUCUUGGCUGCUCCACUUCUGAUUCAGCUCCCUGCUAAUGGCCUGGGCGAAAGCAGCAGAGAAUGUCCCUUGUACUUGGGUCCCUGCCACCCAUGAGGGAGACGAGGAUGAAGCUCCUGGUUUCUGACGUCAGCAUGGCCCAGCCCUGGCCGUUUUGGCCAUUUGGGGAGUGAACCAGUGGAUGCAAGAUCUCUCUCUCCUUCUCUCUGUAACUCUGACUUUGAAAUAAAGAAAGAAAUAUUUUUUUUAAUAGAAGAAAUGAGAAAAUGAUUUCCAGAAAAUUCCAUGAGAUUUUCUUCUCUCCUAUCCUAUGGAACACAGCACAGGUGAGACAACGCCGAGUUGGGGAGCCCCAGACUCCCUGCCUGUUUCUCCCUGGCAGGCCCAGAUGUGCUAGGGCACGGGGCUUCCUUGUAGCGGGGCUCCACAAGGACCCAGCUGCACAAGCCUCCUCGGUGCCCCCAGAGCAGGAGCCCUCGCCCCGAGCUGCCCCUCCCCUGGCUCGAACUGCCCCACGGAGAACAGCACCGUGCGUAGCACACACGUGUUUUCCAAAGAGCUUCAUUUUCUCUAAAUGCCAUGACUUAAUUUAAAACAUUUUUUUCCAACUCACUCGCCCCUCCAAACCCCUGUUUGGGGCCAGGGACUGAGCCUGGACAACACCUGAUCUGAUCUUUCAGGAGGGACCGGCCUCGAAACAUUUGGGAGACAACAAUAGAAACUGCCUCCCGGGGCGGAGCCUCUGCCUCUGCCGGCGAAGGCGCAGGACACACCGCGUUGCCUGCCACUGCAAGUGACCCCUCGCCCCAUCAGCCAACACGGAGAUCCCGGCGUCGGCGGAGGGCGCCACCUGUCCGUUCCCACACCCCUCUGCACAGCGCCGUGGCUGGCCUUCUAGGACGUGUGCCUUCAGCCUUGCUAUUCUGUCGGUUCCUUAACCCAACUAUGCUAAAUUCAUGUUUAGUGGUCUGUGCUGUCUUGGGAAGAUGGCCAUGACCAGCCCCCACGGGCAGCCCCUGGCCGCACCUGCCGAUAGUGCCGGGGCUGCUUUCUCCCCGCAGGGGCCGCAGGGGCCACAGGAGAGGCCAGGCGUGGCCCGAGCUCCUCUGUACCCCCAUGGAAGAGCCACCGCCCUUCGUUUUCCGAGCGUGUCUUCCGCCACGAGCACAUUCCCUCCAUGCUCCCUGUCUUCUGUAGGCAAACUAUAAAACACGCAAAUGGUCCAGAAACCAAGGCCUGCUUGGCAGGCUGCAGCUAUUUUGUGGUGUUCAGAAGGCACGGCAGACACAUGCGCGUGCUGGCGUGCGGUGCACACACACACACACACAGGUGCACAGUCUCAGCAUCUCCACACAGGGCCCAUCGUCUGCCUGAGCCAGUGCAGACAGAACCUGCAGGUGCAGGGGGCACGCAGCGGGGAGCAGUGACCCCAAGAGGUGAGGUGCUGCUGGCCUGCGGCCCUUCAAGCAGGCGCUGGUAUCCGAAGCCUGGAGGACCUUGGAGGCGCCUGCUGCUGGCCCCACCGUGGAAGUCUUGCUUGUCUAGGUUUCUGCAACAUGUCGGAGCAGCACCUGCCAGAAAGCGCUAUCCGUCUUCCUCCCAACCCCGCUGCGGCUUACCCAGAAGUCCCUCCCCUCUUGCCCACUCUUCCCUGCUGGGAGAAGCUGGGGAAAUAGAUCCCCCCAAAGGACAUGGUGCAGGAUCUAAGCCAAUCCUCAUUCCAGACUGGGCCAGCACGGGCCGUGUAACCAGCUGUGGCCAGUGGAUUCAGGGCGCAUCUGCUCACGGGACUUCUGGGAAAGAGCUUUCCCCCUUCAGACAAAAAGACAAAGUCACUUAAGGAAAAGGGCUCUGGGGCCGGCACUGUGGCGCAGUGGGUUAAUCCUCCGCCUGCGGCGCCGGCAUCCUAUACGGGCGCGGGUUCUAGUCCCGGCUGCUCCUCUUCCUGUCCAGCUUUCUGCUGUGGCCCGGGAGGGGAGUGGAGGAUGGCCCAAGUGCUUGGGCCCUGCACCCCAUGGGAGACCAGGAGGAAGCUCCUGGCUCCUGGCUUCGGAUCGGCGCAACGUCAGCCAUAGCGGCCACUUGGGGAGUGAACCAACGGAAGGAAGACUUUUGUGUCUGUCUCUCUCUCUCACUGUCUGUAACUCUGCCUGUCAAAUAAAUAAAUAAAAUCUUAAAAAAAAAAAAAGGAAAAGGCCUCGCUGCACUUCCCUCCCUUCCUGGUUUUGUAUAUGUGCUGCCAAAGCGAGCACCUGAUUUUGUGUGAUGAUGUGAUACUCGGCAUUUGGCAGCAUAUUGUGGCCAUGAGGUGACAGGCUUGGGGCGGGUAGCCACAUGCUGAGGAUGGCAGAGUGGGAGCCAGGAGGCCUGGCACCAAGCCAGCCACCCGGCACCUGCCCCAGGCUGGCCUACAGCCCCAGAUGGCCGGCCAGGGGGAGGUGCUUGCCUGUCUUCAUUGUCAGGGGUUUUGUUUUCUGUGGUCAGUGCUUUUCCUGAUGUCUUGGAAGAAACUUGAUGGUCAUGGAACCCAGGACCUCUGCCAUGGGCUGCUGGAAUCUCCUCUCUAGCAUUUCCACCUGGUGACCUAGUGAGAGAGAGAGAGAGAGAGAGAGGCUGGCUUCCUCCUGGAAGGCCCAGGCCACAUUUGGGGGAGCCCUUCUCACAUGGGAGAGACCCCCAUUGCCAGCCCUGUGGAAGGAGGUGUGCCCAGGAGGGCAGACACAAGGGGGCUGUGACCACAGAGAUGCCUGGGGAGUGGUGAGCUCCCCCGGGGUGGCCAUGUUCAGGCAGCACUGUGGGAGGUGCCCUGGUCUUAGAGCCAUUUCUGCUUAAAGAGGACACUUUUUCUUCGCCUACUUUAAAAAUAUUUAUUUUAGAGGCAGAGAGACAGGAAG